ACAGACAGACAGACAGACAGACAGACAGACAGACAGACAGACAGACAGACAGAGAGGCAGACAGAGAGGCAGACAGACAGGCAGACAGACAGACAGACAGACAGACAGACAGACAGACAGACAGACAGACAGACAGACAGAGAGGCAGACAGAGAGGCAGACAGACAGACAGACAGACAGACAGACAGACAGACAGACAGACAGACAGACAGACAGACAGACAGACAGACAGACAGACAGACAGACAGACAGACAGACAGACAGACAGACAGACAGGCAGACACACAGACAGACAGAGCAGCCGCCCCAUAUUUCACUCAUAUCAAAAGAGGCAACAGUAAUGCUAUCAACGCCUCACAUAAAAACACGAUGGGAGGAAAUGAAAGACAAAGAAAGAGAGGAGGCACAACAAUGAGAAACAUUAGUUCUGUAAUUCUCCUGAGUGCUUUCAUUCCCUCUGCAACAUGCAUAGUUUCUCCUAACACCCUUGGUGUUAGUUAUUUAGGAGAACAAGUCAGGGGGGGUUAAGAAUCAAGCAUACAUGCAAAUGCAAUUAGGGGCUAUUUGCAUACCCCCUUCAUGAUUAAGCAGAUGGUGGCCGUUAAAAGUUGUCCGCAGUCUCCAUCUUGGCAGCGCAAGCAGCUCUGUUUGGGCAGCCAUUUUGUAAGCAGGCGUCAAGGCAUUGCCAGGCUGACACAGUGUGGCGCCUGUCUCUCUGUGCCAGCAGAUUGGCGCGGGAAUCUUAAUAAUACUCGACUGUGAGCAAUGCAACUACUGCACCAUUCAAUGACAUCAUUCUGGGCAUUAUGUUUGAUGAAGGCAAGCCGCAAAAACGUAGGAGAAUAGUCUGUGUUGCGUUGCCCUGUAUACUGUCUAUUAGUCAGUAUGGACUGUAGUCUGUCUUUGUCUAAGAUGAUGAAUAUUCCUAAGACAUUUCACAUAGCAUUUUAAUGUUUACCCAGCUAUCGUCACAUGACUUGUCACAUCUGUGUAAAAGGCCUACUUACCAAGUGAAGUCUGCCCCAUUGUGUUGUUUGUAGAUCUCUCUCUGUGCAGGUGUUCCUGUUGCAGGCCCGUUUGUCCUCUCCAGCCCAGCAGAUAUGGACAAUCCUUUUCUUCCCCAAUGAAAAAAUAAAAUUCUGCAUUUUGCAUCUCAGGCUUUCCAUUCAGCAAUGAUUGAGUCAUUUUCAUUCCAUUGUAUUUUUUUGAGUAUCUAAAGAUAGGGCUUCUUGUGUGGAUUCUUCAACUAUGAAGAAAAAAUAGAACUGGUGGAGAGGACCACUGUUCAGGCACUAUAAAAUAUGUCCACAGUCCUUUUCAUCUUUCACUCAAUUAGGACUCCUUCACUCCUGAAUGUAGUUCAGUUGUAUAGUGAAGUUAUCAGUUACUACUACAGCAUGUAACCACCACAGACAGUGAAAGGUACUGGACUAAAUCCAGCUCCAUUUAGAUCAAUAACCUCUGCCAUAUCCACUGAUAGUGACCUGAGUCAUAAGGAAGAAAAUGGGAGGCAAAAAAUACAAGAUUUAAUCUGAAUCUGUAGUUCAAAUUGGCCUUUUAUCCUGGUUCAUCAGAUGUGGAGAGCAUGGUGGCUGUACAGUUCAUGACUGGAGGGGGACUGACGAGAGACGCCUGUUCAAUUCAAUGGAAGAGGCCUUUUCACUGAACUCUCAUUCAAACAGUCAGGUGAAACGAGUAAUCAGAGGGAAAAAUAGGAGAAAAAGACCUUUGACGUCCAUACUUUAUUCUCUCUCUCCUUCGCUCUCUCGCUCACAGGCAAAGUUAUAUCAAGUGGUCUUGAGCCAGGAAAGCCCCUCCGGCGGAACCACACACACAGACGUGCUAACACACACACACACACGCACGCACGCACGCACGCACGCACACACACACACACACACACACACACACACACACACACACACACACACACACACACACACACACACUCAAACACACACACACAGUGCGGGUUGGCUGGUUCUGGGACUGGGAGAGGGAAGAGAGGGCUGGCAGCGCUGGGUCCCUGGGCUCUAGGGCCAGGGGCAGUGCUGGGCGACCCCUGCUAGCCUCUCUCCUCCAUAUUGAUUUGCUACUCCACGCUGCCGAGGAGCAACUUGCCAGCGGGGAUGAGAGCCUACUUUGCCUCCCCUCGCCUCGACUCGCCUGCCCACUCCGCCGUUGCCUGGCUGGCCCCAGCCAGCUCCCUGAGACCCCUGCACGGAGCAGAGAAGAGCCAGAGAGCCUAUGGCCAUCCACUACUGGGUUCACCUGCUCCCUGGUUCACCACUCACUGCUCCAUUCUUUUCCUCUCCUUCCACCCACUCCCACUCUCCUUCUCUUCCGAAUCUUCUUUCUCUCUGUUUCUCCUGCUCCUGCACACAAAUAACAAGAGACAAGGAGAAAAACAACAAGUUGAGCUUAAGUUGCCCACUCCAGAUGUCAAUCCUGUGCUUUGAUCAGGAAGAUGUGGGGGGUGAAUCUUUUGGCAUCAUCUCAAUUUGUGAGAUGACUCUCAAACCAACCCACCCACCCACCACCACCC
Molecule: long non-coding RNA, 2545 nt
Organism: Oncorhynchus tshawytscha (Chinook salmon)
Lineage: Eukaryota; Metazoa; Chordata; Actinopteri; Salmoniformes; Salmonidae
Source: Ensembl